RNAcentral lists this ribosomal RNA (897 nucleotides) under uncultured Actinomycetes bacterium. RNAcentral's name for it is "bacterial SSU rRNA". It matches the Rfam family "Bacterial small subunit ribosomal RNA", at positions 8 to 918 of the family's 1533-position model. Lineage: Bacteria; Bacillati; Actinomycetota; Actinomycetes. The record is from RNAcentral.
AGAGUUUGAUUCUGGCUCAGGACGAACGCUGGCGGCGUGCUUAACACAUGCAAGUCGAGCGGAAAGGCUCCUUCGGGGGUACUCGAGCGGCGAACGGGUGAGUAACACGUGAGUAAUCUGCCCUCCACUUCGGGAUAGCUACCGGAAACGGUGAUUAAUACCGGAUAUGACCACUUCUCGCAUGGGAUGGUGGUGGAAAGUUUUUUCGGUGGGGGAUGUGCUCGCGGCCUAUCAGCUUGUUGGUGGGGUAAUGGCCUACCAAGGCUUCGACGGGUAGCCGGCCUGAGAGGGUGACCGGUCACACUGGGACUGAGACACGGCCCAGACUCCUACGGGAGGCAGCAGUGGGGAAUAUUGGACAAUGGGCGGAAGCCUGAUCCAGCAACGCCGCGUGAGGGAUGACGGCCUUCGGGUUGUAAACCUCUUUCAGUACCGACGAAGCGCAAGUGACGGUAGGUACAGAAGAAGCACCGGCCAACUACGUGCCAGCAGCCGCGGUAAUACGUAGGGUGCGAGCGUUGUCCGGAAUUAUUGGGCGUAAAGGGCUCGUAGGCGGUUUGUCGCGUCGGGAGUGAAAACACCGUGCUUAACACGGUGCUUGCUUUCGAUACGGGCAGACUAGAGGCAUGCAGGGGAGAACGGAAUUCCUGGUGUAGCGGUGAAAUGCGCAGAUAUCAGGAGGAACACCGGUGGCGAAGGCGGUUCUCUGGGCAUGUCCUGACGCUGAGGAGCGAAAGUGUGGGGAGCGAACAGGAUUAGAUACCCUGGUAGUCCACACCGUAAACGUUGGGCGCUAGGUGUGGGAUCCAUUCCACGGGUUCCGUGCCGCAGCUAACGCAUUAAGCGCCCCGCCUGGGGAGUACGGCCGCAAGGCUAAACUCAAAUGAAUUGACGGGG